UAGCUUAAUGGUAGAGCGGUCGGCUGUUAACCGAUUGGUCGUAGGUUCGAAUCCUACU
RNAcentral lists this transfer RNA (58 nucleotides) under Phacellanthus tubiflorus. RNAcentral describes it as "tRNA-Lys". It matches the Rfam family "tRNA", at positions 8 to 63 of the family's 71-position model. From Rfam's summary of the family: Transfer RNA (tRNA) molecules are approximately 80 nucleotides in length. Their secondary structure includes four short double-helical elements and three loops (D, anti-codon, and T loops). The record is from RNAcentral. Lineage: Eukaryota; Viridiplantae; Streptophyta; Magnoliopsida; Lamiales; Orobanchaceae.